Molecule: long non-coding RNA, 274 nt
Filed under: Elaeis guineensis (African oil palm)
Lineage: Eukaryota; Viridiplantae; Streptophyta; Magnoliopsida; Arecales; Arecaceae
Description: long non-coding RNA (EGUI_LNC001307)
Source: RNAcentral
CAUCAUGGACCCUAGGAUAAACUUGAAGAUGAAAAUAAGAUGAUCUGAGAUUGCUCCAAAAUUCGUGCGGUAGAUUUGAUCUCAGUCCGAUACUAUUCGAAAUUUAUAACAUUUGAUUCAUAUUAAGUCAUCCUGAUAGGACCUCUGAUGAUCUCGACCAUGAUUGCCUCAUCUGAAGGAUACGAAGAUUUCUCUCUCCAUUUUCUCUCUCUACUUUCUCUCUCUAAAAUUUUCUCUCUCUUCAUGGAUUUUCUCUCUCUAGAAGUCUUAUGGA